Molecule: transfer RNA, 86 nt
Filed under: bacterium
Lineage: Bacteria
Also listed under: 1 other name
Description: tRNA-Ser
Rfam family: tRNA
About the family: Transfer RNA (tRNA) molecules are approximately 80 nucleotides in length.
Source: RNAcentral
GGAGGGGUGCAGGAGCGGUUUAACUGGCUAGUCUCGAAAACUAUGCGCUGAAAGGCACGGGGGUUCGAAUCCCCCCCCCUCCGCCA